This 70-nucleotide transfer RNA is filed under the name Trichonephila inaurata madagascariensis. RNAcentral describes it as "tRNA-Lys". Lineage: Eukaryota; Metazoa; Arthropoda; Arachnida; Araneae; Nephilidae. The record is from RNAcentral.
CCUGUAGAGCAAUGAAUAACGGGUUGGACUUUUAAUCCAAAGAUCGUGGGUUCGAAUUCCACCUGAUGGC